GACAGAGGUCCCGGGCGUUAGGCGGAAUCACUGGGCUUAAAGCGUGUGUAGGCGGAGUUCUAAGUACCUUGUGAAAUCCCACGGCUCAACCGUGGAACUGCUUGGUAUACUGGUUCUCUUGAGCCACCUAGGGGCAACCGGAACAAACGGUGGAGCGGUGAAAUGCGUAGAUAUCGUUUGGAACGCCAAUGGUGAAAACAGGUUGCUGGGGGUGUGCUGACGCUGAGACACGAAAGCCAGGGGAGCAAACGGG
RNAcentral lists this ribosomal RNA (253 nucleotides) under uncultured bacterium. RNAcentral's name for it is "partial 16S ribosomal RNA". It matches the Rfam family "Bacterial small subunit ribosomal RNA", at positions 524 to 776 of the family's 1533-position model. The record is from RNAcentral.